GGCUCAUGUUUAGCUCAGUGGGUUAGAGCACUGCACCGGCAUCGCAGAGGUCAUGGGUUCGAAUCCCGUUGAGUCA
RNAcentral lists this transfer RNA (76 nucleotides) under Acropora cervicornis. RNAcentral's name for it is "tRNA-Ala". The stretch from base 11 to 69 matches the Rfam family "tRNA", at positions 8 to 63 of the family's 71-position model. Rfam says of the family: Transfer RNA (tRNA) molecules are approximately 80 nucleotides in length. Lineage: Eukaryota; Metazoa; Cnidaria; Anthozoa; Scleractinia; Acroporidae. The record is from RNAcentral.